RNAcentral lists this ribosomal RNA (505 nucleotides) under uncultured bacterium. Its description in RNAcentral is "partial 16S ribosomal RNA". It matches the Rfam family "Bacterial small subunit ribosomal RNA", at positions 28 to 507 of the family's 1533-position model. The record is from RNAcentral.
GACGAACGCUGGCGGCGUGCCUAAUACAUGCAAGUAGAACGCACAGUUUAUACCGUAGCUCGCUACACCAUAGACUGUGAGUUGCGAACGGGUGAGUAACGCGUAGGUAACCUGCCUGGUAGCGGGGGAUAACUAUUGGAAACGAUAGCUAAUACCGCAUAAUAUUAAUUAUUGCAUGAUAAUUAAUUGAAAGGUGCAAUUGCACCACUACCAGAUGGACCUGCGUUGUAUUAGCUAGUAGGUGAGGUAACGGCUCACCUAGGCGACGAUACAUAGCCGACCUGAGAGGGUGAUCGGCCACACUGGGACUGAGACACGGCCCAGACUCCUACGGGAGGCAGCAGUAGGGAAUCUUCGGCAAUGGACGAAAGUCUGACCGAGCAACGCCGCGUGAGUGAAGAAGGUUUUCGGAUCGUAAAGCUCUGUUGUAAGAGAAGAACGGGUGUGAGAGUGGAAAGUUCACACUGUGACGGUAUCUUACCAGAAAGGGACGGCUAACUACGUG